GAUGAAGAACGUAGCGAAAUGCGAUAAGUAGUGUGAAUUGCAGAAUUCAGUGAAUCAUCGAAUCUUUGAACGCACAUUCCGCCUUCUAGUAUUCUGGGAGGCAUGCCUGUUUGAGCGUCAUUAAACCUCUCUCAAGUAUGAUUACUUGGAUGUGAAGGAAGAGUACCUUAAACUUAAGGAGUGUUCUCCUUUGAAAUUGAUUAGCAGAUGGUAAUGUUAUUAAAUCCCUGAUGUUGUAAGAAAUAACAGUGGUUUUGUAGACUAUUAUCUAGCUUUAAAUUAUAAUUUUUAUUAUGGUUGACCUCAAAUCAGGUAAGGAUACCCGCUGAACUUAAGCAUAUCAAUAAGCGGAGGA
RNAcentral lists this unclassified non-coding RNA (355 nucleotides) under soil metagenome. Its description in RNAcentral is "partial contains 5.8S ribosomal RNA, internal transcribed spacer 2, and large subunit ribosomal RNA". The stretch from base 1 to 120 matches the Rfam family "5.8S ribosomal RNA", at positions 35 to 154 of the family's 154-position model. The record is from RNAcentral.